GACGAACCACACGAACGUUAUUCGGAAUUACUGGGCUUAAAGGGUGCGUAGGCGGCGUAGCAAGUUGGGUGUGAAAUCCCUCGGCUCAACCGAGGAACUGCGCCCAAAACUGCUAUGCUUGAGGAAGAUAGAGGUAAGCGGAACUUACGGUGGAGCGGUGAAAUGCGUUGAUAUCGUAAGGAACACCUGUGGCGAAAGCGGCUUACUGGGUCUUUUCUGACGCUGAUGCACGAAAGCCAGGGGGAGCAAACGGG
RNAcentral lists this ribosomal RNA (254 nucleotides) under uncultured bacterium. RNAcentral's name for it is "partial 16S ribosomal RNA". It matches the Rfam family "Bacterial small subunit ribosomal RNA", at positions 524 to 776 of the family's 1533-position model. The record is from RNAcentral.